GGAAAUUUGGCAGGAACUUCUGGUGGACACCGAAAUUCUUUGCCUGAAAACCUUUUAAAAAUAUGAAAACAAGACAAAAAAUGGCUGGGUUUUCUUUUAGAGUGGCAAUGUCAUUUGUCCAGAAGGGGGAGCUCUCAGUCCGCAUGCAGCGGAGCAAGGCAGACAGUCUGGUAUCUUAUCUGCUGCUUGGGAAAUUGUCUGACAGGAAAAUAUCAACACAAACCAUGCGAUUUGCCGCUGGAGCACGCUGGACCUCAUCUGCUUAAAAAGAUGCACGGAUAUAGUCAUCACAGUUCAUAAUUUAAUAAACUGCUAAAAAAACCACAC
RNAcentral lists this long non-coding RNA (327 nucleotides) under Homo sapiens (human). RNAcentral describes it as "non-protein coding lnc-CETN3-5:1". The record is from RNAcentral. Lineage: Eukaryota; Metazoa; Chordata; Mammalia; Primates; Hominidae.